Non-coding RNA from Petromyzon marinus (sea lamprey), 173 nucleotides. The record is from RefSeq and is a predicted model, not a curated record. Lineage: Eukaryota; Metazoa; Chordata; Hyperoartia; Petromyzontiformes; Petromyzontidae.
CAGAGACACAGAGACACGGAGACACAGAGACACAGAGACACAGAGACACAGAGACACAGGUAGACAAGCAGGAACGAGUUCAUGGACCUGAGACACGGAGACACAGAGACACAGAGACACAGGUAGACAAGCAGGAACGAGUUCAUGGACCUGAGACACAGAGACACACAGAC